GAAAAAUGACACAGAUUGGUCUUAUGGAUGUGAACAAAAUUUCGAGCUGUCUUGUUCGGACAAUAAUUCGAUUGGUUUCUUCCAACUUCAUGAUGCUGAAUUUUAUGGCUAUGACAUUGGAGUAUACUAUAAUGUCACCAUAGAGUCCUGCAAAAAUAUUUGCGUGAGAAACUGUGAUUGCAAAGGAUUUCAGUAUAAAUACGAGACACAGAGUGGCACUUACAAUUGCUUCCCGAAAACAUUAUUGUUUAACGGAUACCAGUCGCCUUCUUUUAACUAUCCGGC
RNAcentral lists this long non-coding RNA (285 nucleotides) under Olea europaea (common olive). RNAcentral's name for it is "long non-coding RNA (OEUR_LNC007012)". Lineage: Eukaryota; Viridiplantae; Streptophyta; Magnoliopsida; Lamiales; Oleaceae. The record is from RNAcentral.